Megalobrama amblycephala (Wuchang bream) is the source of this 461-nucleotide long non-coding RNA. RefSeq lists it as uncharacterized. Lineage: Eukaryota; Metazoa; Chordata; Actinopteri; Cypriniformes; Xenocyprididae. The transcript is spliced from 3 exons. The record is from RefSeq and is a predicted model, not a curated record.
UUCAAUUACUGUUUGUGUUUGUAAUAUGUAAUAUUUUUGUGCUUAUCUGUUGUUAUAUAUAUUCAUUUUGUAGGAUCAGUACAUAUUUGUUAUUGGAGAUACAGUGCAAGCUGUGUGGAAUCAAAGACCCGUAUUGAUGAGGCCAGUGUCAGUGAAGAUGGUGUGGUCACUGGAAUCCUGGUGUUUGUGGGAAAUGUGAAGGAGUUUCUCCCAGGAUUCUACAACAGUGUUGUCCUGAUGACUGAGGUAUUUAUAUUUUUUACUUUCUUGCCUCUUUGGAACAUGUUCAUUUAUGCAUACUGUGUAGAGGUGGUUCGCAGCUUCAUGGACAUUUAAGGUUUUCUGCCGAUGAAGAGCUUCUGGGACAUUGACAUAAACAGCACUUUUUCAUACAACUUAAAAAAAGGUGGUGACAGACAAUUUUGGUUUUCUUGUUUUUGUGCCUUUGGAAUUCAUUGUUU